CUGUUCUUAACUCAAUGGUAGAGCAUCUGCUUUGCAUGCAGAAGGUAUUGGCUUCAAGUCUCCAGGUAGGACUGG
Molecule: non-coding RNA, 75 nt
Organism: Podarcis lilfordi (Lilford's wall lizard)
Lineage: Eukaryota; Metazoa; Chordata; Lepidosauria; Squamata; Lacertidae
Source: the annotation of a GenBank genome assembly